This 460-nucleotide ribosomal RNA is filed under the name uncultured Rhodocyclaceae bacterium. Its description in RNAcentral is "bacterial SSU rRNA". It matches the Rfam family "Bacterial small subunit ribosomal RNA", at positions 924 to 1382 of the family's 1533-position model. The record is from RNAcentral. Lineage: Bacteria; Pseudomonadati; Pseudomonadota; Betaproteobacteria; Rhodocyclales; Rhodocyclaceae.
CACAAGCGGUGGAUGAUGUGGAUUAAUUUCGAUGCAACGCGAAAACCUUAACCUACCCUUGACAUGUCCGGAAUCCCGAAGAGAUUUGGGAGUGCUCGCAAGAGAACCGGAACACAGGUGCUGCAUGGCUGUCGUCAGCUCGUGUCGUGAGAUGUUGGGUUAAGUCCCGCAACGAGCGCAACCCUUGUCAUUAGUUGCCAUCAUUUGGUUGGGCACUCUAAUGAGACUGCCGGUGACAAACCGGAGGAAGGUGGGGAUGACGUCAAGUCCUCAUGGCCCUUAUGGGUAGGGCUUCACACGUCAUACAAUGGUCGGUACAGAGGGUUGCCAACCCGCGAGGGGGAGCUAAUCCCAUAAAGCCAUUCGUAGUCCGGAUCGCAGUCUGCAACUCGACUGCGUGAAGUCGGAAUCGCUAGUAAUCGUGGAUCAGAAUGUCACGGUGAAUACGUUCCCGGGUCUU